CUUCUCUCAAAUGCUGUGUGCCCGGCAGAGAGGCAUCAAUUUCUAUUUAAAAUUAUUUGGUUUGACACAGCCUGGAUACACAUUAAAACGACCUACCAUGCUUGAGAUGUGUUAGCAUUCUCAUCUCAAGCGUGAUAUGACAACUGAGGUUGCUGCUUAUAACUAAAAUGAAUGGCUGCCAAUGCAAAAACAUGUCAUUUAUUCAGAGGUGUAUUACUAACGUAGCAUUUUGAGCAUGUUCUUACAAUUUUUUUUAUAAAACUUUUUUUUUCAAUAAGAAUUUAGCUUCAGCUUCAAGUGGGCUGCCAUACCAAUACCCCCUGCUUACAAUUUCUUCUUCAGUAUGCCACUGCUCUGAUUGCUGAUUCUGAUAGACCUGAUCAAAAACAUAACCUAUACCUAUAACUGCCUCAAAUGCAAAAUAAAAACGGUGAUUUAAAAAUAAUAAAAUAAACAACAUGAUACCAAUAUGUUUUAUUAUAAAGCGCUCGUUAUAAAAAUCUGUUCAAUACUUACAUAUCUUAAACUAUGAUUUAUUAUGAAAACACUUUUCUAAAAUUAUGCUCAACAUGAUUAAAAGGAACAGGUUGACUACUCAAAUAGUCAUACAUAAAUUUAUCAAACAACAUAUAUUUCCUAAUAAAAAGAUUAGAAAUUGGACAAAUUCAUCUUUAUUUGGUAUCAACAAGCUAUGGUAAAAGCAGAGAAAUCAUUGAAUAUUGAUCUUUUAAAACCAUAUCCUGAGAACAGAAACAGUGGUCUGCAUGUGAUUUAAUUUGAAUGGAUAAAGAUGAUUUUAGUCUAGUUUGGCUUAAGCUAGAUGAAUCUACCUCAAAAGUUUCAAAAGCAUUUAUAUUCUAAAUAGACAAAAAUGUACACUUGAAUGAUUGGCAAAAAUUAGUAAGUUUUGUUAGUGUAAUUACCCUACUACUAGACUACAAGAAUUCUAUCUUAUGCAUCAGGGAAAUUCUUUGUUUCAUGCAAGUUGAGAAAAAAAACCACACAGCAAGACAUGACAUAUCUAAAUGCCCCCUUUGAUAGUUAAAUGUUUGGUUUGUACACUAUUAAAUGAUUAGUCAAAUAUUGCUUUUUCUAUGAUCAAAUUUAGAAAUGCUGUAAUAAUUCAUUACAGCUUGAUUUUCUCUUCCUUUAUUGCUGGAGGAUUUACUGAUGCUAGACUGUAAAAAUAAUUAGUAUGCCUAACAUUACUAGUCGUUACCAUAAGAACAAUCACCUUCAAUGAAAGAAUUGUCUUAAAAUAAAAUAUAAAAAAUUGUAUUCAGUAAAUCAAUAUAUAUAUACGAAUAUCAAUUCUAAAUCAUACUAUGUGCUGAACACAAAUAUCAGCUUUCAGUGACUUUAUGCAUACUUCAUUAAAAAUAACAAAUAAAUCACAUACAGGUUGGAAUCAAGUGAAAGUAUGAGAAUAAUCUUUAUGUACAUAUACCAUAUUAAAUAACAAUGCAGAUAUUCAAUUGGUUUUGCUGUAGAUCUUGACAUGGUCUGUCAAUUAUUAGAAAAAUAUUUACAAGAUCUUCAAGACAAAAAAAUACAACCAGCUCAUCAUUUAAUUUUAGAAUAAAAUGUUGAGUGAUUCAAAGCAAUUGUUUUGUAGAAAUAACAACAAAGCUAUUCACCGUAAACUUGGGAAUCAUUUGGCUAGCGCACAGUGCUGAUAUUUAUAAAGUGACAAUAGUAUCUUAUUGUUUGACAGAAAUCAGACACAAAAAAAACAGUACAGGUAUAUAUAAAGCAGGUUUGACUGAACUUAUAUCUUUUUGCCAUUUUUAUUCAGUAUAUCCAUAGGCAUUGUAUCAAAAUUUAUAUAUAUACCAUAAUACCAAAUGCCUAUAUGCAUACAGAAGAGCCUUUCUUCUUUAUUGUGAAACAUAAUGUCAAUCUUUGGAAUGGAAUGUAAAGAAGAAUUUAAUUAAAUUACUUUACACCUGCUCUAUUCUUACAACUUUUUAUGAAAUUUAUAUUUUUUUAAUGUAAAAAUUAAUAAGUUUAGUGUAAAAAUGGCUUCAAACUCCAAGUUCAAAAAUAAGUUCUUGGAUUAGCACAGUAGCAUAAUUGUGUAUGAACAAAUGUACAAGAUUAUAAGGGAGCUACCAUUGGAUUUUAAUGGGGGGGGCUAGGAUAAAAAAUUUUGUCCUGCAUUUUUUUUUAGCGUAAUUCUGUCUGCUUUUUUUUUUCACUGCUGUUUGGCCGCUUUUUUUUUUUUAGUUUAUCCUGACUUUUUUUUAUCUAAAUGUCAUCCUGACUUUUUUUGGCAAUUGUCUCAUCCUGCCUUUUUUGUUACUCAAACCCUGUCCGCCUAUUUUUUCAAAUUUCAUCCUAGCCCCCAUAAAAAUCAAAUGGUAGCUCCCUAAACCAAUUAAUGUAUUGCAUAAAAUGAAUUACACAAUUGACAAUAUGAUAUAAUUUACAAUUUUAUUUUGUAUGUAAUAUAUUAACAAGUUAUACAAGAAUCUAAGAGUAAACAUUUAGAAAGAAAUCCUUUGGUAGUUCAUUGACUGAUACACAAUUUUAGCUAUCACCAACAAAAUAAAGACUGCAAUUUAAUGCAAGAGUUAGGGUUUAUAAGAAUAAAUUAUAAUUUAUUUAAACAUUGAUGUUAGCAAAAUAACAACGGGGAGGGAGAUAUGCAGAAUCAUAUUGUUCAUUUUAUCAAAUUAUCAUUCACUUUCUAAAAUUUUCCCUUUAGAACUUUUCUGUGUGAUAAUUUCUUUCCAUCUCAAGUUACUGACAAAUAAGAAGGGCUUUUCUUUGGUUGAUGAAAGCAAGGUUUGAAUGACAUCAAUAGCCAAAUUAUAUUGACCUUGCCCAGGGAAAUUAAUUUUCUCUGCAACAUCUAAUCUCAGGACUUUCACCCUUCAAUGAGAUUUUAGCCAAAAAAGAAAAUAAACACAGUGUGUUUCAGCACUGAGGGUAAAGAUCGGUAAAGAUUGCAUUCAUUUUGAACUAGGAAUUAAAAAUUAAACAUUCAAUUGUGCAAUUGCAGAUAAGUCAAGUUUUUAAUAUGAAAGCAAGCCUCAUAAGUAAGGUAUGCAUUCUUUACAAAACAUAACAUAACAAACAUAAAUAUAACAAUUCAAUAUGAAACUUUAACUACAAAAAAACAUAGUUCAAAUAGAUAUUUUCCAAUUUUGAGAUAUGCAUUCAGAAAAUUAUUUUAACAUGCGUCUAGCGCAAAUACAAAAUUUCAAUCCUGGCAUGAUGAGUUUAUUAUGAACAAGAAUCAAUUUUUCAUUAGCAAUGUGUUGGAAAACUUUUACAAGUUGAUUAGUGUGAAAAGAUGAAUUCAUUAAUGCAAUUUGGAAAACAUUUUUAUUAUUUUGGGUUUGAGAAUGGAUAAAAUCACAGUUGCAUGCAUAAUAUAAAUCAAAGCUAUAUAAAUCAGUCUUUCUGUUUUUCAGACCUCUGAGAAUCACAUAAACAACCCAUACUUUAGCUCUUCUGUAAAUUUGAUUUAAAACACAAGGCAUAGUACAUGUAGUUAAAAGAUUUCACUCAAGACUGGAAAACUUUUCAUCCAUAAUUCUUCAACCUCAAGGUAAACCAGAUGCUCCGCAGGGCGCAGCUUUAUACGACCGCAGAGGUUGAACCCUGAACGGUUGGGGCAAGUAUGGACACACAUUCAAGCUGG
Molecule: long non-coding RNA, 3649 nt
Filed under: Mytilus galloprovincialis (Mediterranean mussel)
Lineage: Eukaryota; Metazoa; Mollusca; Bivalvia; Mytilida; Mytilidae
Source: RNAcentral